This 869-nucleotide ribosomal RNA is filed under the name Escherichia coli. RNAcentral's name for it is "partial 23S ribosomal RNA". It matches the Rfam family "Bacterial large subunit ribosomal RNA", at positions 323 to 1194 of the family's 2925-position model. Lineage: Bacteria; Pseudomonadati; Pseudomonadota; Gammaproteobacteria; Enterobacterales; Enterobacteriaceae. The record is from RNAcentral.
UGUGUGUUAGUGGAAGCGUCUGGAAAGGCGCGCGAUACAGGGUGACAGCCCCGUACACAAAAAUGCACAUGCUGUGAGCUCGAUGAGUAGGGCGGGACACGUGGUAUCCUGUCUGAAUAUGGGGGGACCAUCCUCCAAGGCUAAAUACUCCUGACUGACCGAUAGUGAACCAGUACCGUGAGGGAAAGGCGAAAAGAACCCCGGCGAGGGGAGUGAAAAAGAACCUGAAACCGUGUACGUACAAGCAGUGGGAGCACAGAGCAAUCUGUGUGACUGCGUACCUUUUGUAUAAUGGGUCAGCGACUUAUAUUCUGUAGCAAGGUUAACCGAAUAGGGGAGCCGAAGGGAAACCGAGUCUUAACUGGGCGUUAAGUUGCAGGGUAUAGACCCGAAACCCGGUGAUCUAGCCAUGGGCAGGUUGAAGGUUGGGUAACACUAACUGGAGGACCGAACCGACUAAUGUUGAAAAAUUAGCGGAUGACUUGUGGCUGGGGGUGAAAGGCCAAUCAAACCGGGAGAUAGCUGGUUCUCCCCGAAAGCUAUUUAGGUAGCGCCUCGUGAAUUCAUCUCCGGGGGUAGAGCACUGUUUCGGCAAGGGGGUCAUCCCGACUUACCAACCCGAUGCAAACUGCGAAUACCGGAGAAUGUUAUCACGGGAGACACACGGCGGGUGCUAACGUCCGUCGUGAAGAGGGAAACAACCCAGACCGCCAGCUAAGGUCCCAAAGUCAUGGUUAAGUGGGAAACGAUGUGGGAAGGCCCAGACAGCCAGGAUGUUGGCUUAGAAGCAGCCAUCAUUUAAAGAAAGCGUAAUAGCUCACUGGUCGAGUCGGCCUGCGCGGAAGAUGUAACGGGGCUAAACCAUGCAC